RNAcentral lists this ribosomal RNA (554 nucleotides) under uncultured archaeon. Its description in RNAcentral is "bacterial SSU rRNA". It matches the Rfam family "Archaeal small subunit ribosomal RNA", at positions 325 to 879 of the family's 1478-position model. The record is from RNAcentral.
AGGGGGUGCAGCAGGCGCGAAAACUUUACAAUGCCGGCAACGGCGAUAAGGGGACCUCGAGUGCCAGGUUACAAAUCUGGCUGUCGUGAUGCCUAAAAAGCAUUGCAUAGCAAGGGCCGGGCAAGACCGAUGCCAGCCGCCGCGGUAAUACCGGCGGCUCGAGUGGUGGCCACUAUUACUGGGCUUAAAGCGUCCGUAGCUGGUCUGUUAAGUCUCUGGGGAAAUCUACCGGCUUAACCGGUAGGCGUCUCAGGGAUACUGGCAGACUAGGGACCGGGAGAGAUGAGGGGUACUCCAGGGGUAGGAGUGAAAUCCUGUAAUCCUUGGGGGACCACCUGUGGCGAAGGCGCCUCACCAGAACGGCUCCGACAGUGAGGGACGAAAGCUGGGGGAGCAAACCGGAUUAGAUACCCGGGUAGUCCCAGCUGUAAACGAUGCGCGUUAGGUGUAUCGGUGACCACGAGUCACCGAGGUGCCGAAGGGAAACCGUGAAACGUGCCGCCUGGGAAGUACGGUCGCAAGGCUGAAACUUAAAGGAAUUGGCGGGGGAGCAC